This 1405-nucleotide ribosomal RNA is filed under the name Lactobacillus sp. RNAcentral describes it as "bacterial SSU rRNA". It matches the Rfam family "Bacterial small subunit ribosomal RNA", at positions 57 to 1429 of the family's 1533-position model. Lineage: Bacteria; Bacillati; Bacillota; Bacilli; Lactobacillales; Lactobacillaceae. The record is from RNAcentral. RNAcentral also lists the same sequence under 1 other name.
GCAGUCGAACGAACUCUGGUAUUGAUUGGUGCUUGCAUCAUGAUUUACAUUUGAGUGAGUGGCGAACUGGUGAGUAACACGUGGGAAACCUGCCCAGAAGCGGGGGAUAACACCUGGAAACAGAUGCUAAUACCGCAUAACAACUUGGACCGCAUGGUCCGAGCUUGAAAGAUGGCUUCGGCUAUCACUUUUGGAUGGUCCCGCGGCGUAUUAGCUAGAUGGUGGGGUAACGGCUCACCAUGGCAAUGAUACGUAGCCGACCUGAGAGGGUAAUCGGCCACAUUGGGACUGAGACACGGCCCAAACUCCUACGGGAGGCAGCAGUAGGGAAUCUUCCACAAUGGACGAAAGUCUGAUGGAGCAACGCCGCGUGAGUGAAGAAGGGUUUCGGCUCGUAAAACUCUGUUGUUAAAGAAGAACAUAUCUGAGAGUAACUGUUCAGGUAUUGACGGUAUUUAACCAGAAAGCCACGGCUAACUACGUGCCAGCAGCCGCGGUAAUACGUAGGUGGCAAGCGUUGUCCGGAUUUAUUGGGCGUAAAGCGAGCGCAGGCGGUUUUUUAAGUCUGAUGUGAAAGCCUUCGGCUCAACCGAAGAAGUGCAUCGGAAACUGGGAAACUUGAGUGCAGAAGAGGACAGUGGAACUCCAUGUGUAGCGGUGAAAUGCGUAGAUAUAUGGAAGAACACCAGUGGCGAAGGCGGCUGUCUGGUCUGUAACUGACGCUGAGGCUCGAAAGUAUGGGUAGCAAACAGGAUUAGAUACCCUGGUAGUCCAUACCGUAAACGAUGAAUGCUAAGUGUUGGAGGGUUUCCGCCCUUCAGUGCUGCAGCUAACGCAUUAAGCAUUCCGCCUGGGGAGUACGGCCGCAAGGCUGAAACUCAAAGGAAUUGACGGGGGCCCGCACAAGCGGUGGAGCAUGUGGUUUAAUUCGAAGCUACGCGAAGAACCUUACCAGGUCUUGACAUACUAUGCAAAUCUAAGAGAUUAGACGUUCCCUUCGGGGACAUGGAUACAGGUGGUGCAUGGUUGUCGUCAGCUCGUGUCGUGAGAUGUUGGGUUAAGUCCCGCAACGAGCGCAACCCUUAUUAUCAGUUGCCAGCAUUAAGUUGGGCACUCUGGUGAGACUGCCGGUGACAAACCGGAGGAAGGUGGGGAUGACGUCAAAUCAUCAUGCCCCUUAUGACCUGGGCUACACACGUGCUACAAUGGAUGGUACAACGAGUUGCGAACUCGCGAGAGUAAGCUAAUCUCUUAAAGCCAUUCUCAGUUCGGAUUGUAGGCUGCAACUCGCCUACAUGAAGUCGGAAUCGCUAGUAAUCGCGGAUCAGCAUGCCGCGGUGAAUACGUUCCCGGGCCUUGUACACACCGCCCGUCACACCAUGAGAGUUUGUAACACCCAAAGUCG